This 916-nucleotide ribosomal RNA is filed under the name uncultured bacterium. RNAcentral describes it as "bacterial SSU rRNA". It matches the Rfam family "Bacterial small subunit ribosomal RNA", at positions 8 to 916 of the family's 1533-position model. The record is from RNAcentral.
AGAGUUUGAUCAUGGCUCAGGACGAACGCUGGCGGCGUGCUUAAUACAUGCAAGUCGAGCGAGGCCUUGGAAUUGGAGUCCUUCGGGGUGAAGAGUCCUUGGCCUAGCGGCGGACGGGUGAGUAACGCGUGGGCAACCUACCCCAAAGUCCGGGAUAACAGUGGGAAACCGCUGCUAAUACCGGAUGGCUUUACCUGAGGGCAUCCUUGGGUAAAGAAAGGUUACGCUUUGGGAUGGGCCCGCGUCCCAUUAGCUAGUUGGUGAGGUAACGGCUCACCAAGGCGACGAUGGGUAGCCGGCCUGAGAGGGUGAACGGCCACACUGGGACUGAGACACGGCCCAGACUCCUACGGGAGGCAGCAGUAGGGAAUAUUGCGCAAUGGGCGGAAGCCUGACGCAGCGACGCCGCGUGAGCGAAGAAGGCCUUCGGGUCGUAAAGCUCUGUCCUUGGGGAAGAAGGCGAAAGCUUGACGGUACCCAAGAAGAAAGCCCCGGCUAACUACGUGCCAGCAGCCGCGGUAAUACGUAGGGGGCGAGCGUUGUCCGGAAUUACUGGGCGUAAAGGGUGCGUAGGCGGCCUUUUAAGUCAGAUGUGAAAGGCUGCGGCUUAACCGCAGGACUGCAUUUGAAACUGGAAGGCUUGAGUGUCGGAGAGGGUAGUGGAAUUCCCAGUGUAGCGGUGAAAUGCGUAGAUAUUGGGAGGAACACCAGUGGCGAAGGCGACUACCUGGACGAUAACUGACGCUGAGGCACGAAAGCUAGGGGAGCAAACAGGAUUAGAUACCCUGGUAGUCCUAGCCGUAAACGAUGGGUACUAGGUGUAGGUGGUUUCGAUACCAUCUGUGCCGCAGUUAACGCAAUAAGUACCCCGCCUGGGGAGUACGGUCGCAAGACUGAAACUCAAAUGAAUUGACGG